GUUGCCUGGAAUGUCUUUGUUGGAGCAUACCCAUGUUACCAUCAUGGUCAUGCAAAUGGGUGUAGUGUUGAAGUGAGAGGUGUAAGCUUGCCUUAUUUCUACAAGAAAAAAUUUACACCGUCCUGUAACAAGCAUGAUAUUUGCUACUCAUGUGCGAACUCCUACCACCUCCAUCGGUCAUAUUGUGAUAGCAGGUUUUACGUAAACAUGAUGAAGGCAUGCAAAAAUAGUUACGUUUGCAAACUGUUUCCUCUCGACUAUUACACAGCAGUAAGAGCAUUCGGAAAAAGUCAUUUUCCUGCCAAAUCACCUAGUUGGUGUCGUGAUUGGUGGGUAAAAUACUGUUUUUAUUAGACAAUGAAGAAGAGUAAAGUUAAAUUCUAAAUAAAUAAACGAAUAAACAUCGCAUUCAAA
Long non-coding RNA from Mytilus californianus (California mussel), 414 nucleotides. RefSeq lists it as uncharacterized. NCBI's taxonomy places the organism in Eukaryota, Metazoa, Mollusca, Bivalvia, Mytilida, Mytilidae. The transcript has 2 exons. The record is from RefSeq and is a predicted model, not a curated record.